CUGGUUGAUCCUGCCAGAGGUUACUGCUAUCGGUGUUCGCCUAAGCCAUGCGAGUCAUAUGUUCUUCGUGAACAUGGCGUACUGCUCAGUAACACGUGGAUAACCUGCCCUUGGGUCCGGCAUAACCCCGGGAAACUGGGGAUAAUUCCGGAUAACGCACAUAUGCUGGAAUGCUUUAUGCGUCAAAUGGAUUCGUCUGCCCAAGGAUGGGUCUGCGGCCUAUCAGGUAGUAGUGGGUGUAAUGUACCUACUAGCCGACGACGGGUACGGGUUGUGAGAGCAAGAGCCCGGAGAUGGAUUCUGAGACAUGAAUCCAGGCCCUACGGGGCGCAGCAGGCGCGAAAACUUUACAAUGCGGGAAACCGUGAUAAGGGGACACCGAGUGCCAGCAUCAUAUGCUGGCUGUCCGGGUGUGUAAAAUACACCUGUUAGCAAGGGCCGGGCAAGACCGGUGCCAGCCGCCGCGGUAACACCGGCGGCCCCGAGUGGUGAUCGUGAUUAUUGGGUCUAAAGGGUCUGUAGCCGGCCGGAUAAGUCUCUUGGGAAAUCUGGCAGCUUAACUGUCAGGCUUUCAGGAGAUACUGUCUGGCUCGAGGCCGGGAGAGGUGAGAGGUACUUCAGGGGUAGGGGUGAAAUCUUGUAAUCCUUGAAGGACCACCAGUGGCGAAGGCGUCUCACCAGAACGGACCUGACGGCAAGGGACGAAAGCUGGGGGCACGAACCGGAUUAGAUACCCGGGUAGUCCCAGCCGUAAACGAUGCUCGCUAGGUGUCAGGCAUGGCGCGACCGUGUACUGGUGCCGUAGGGAAGCCGUGAAGCGAGCCACCUGGGAAGUACGGCCGCAAGGCUGAAACUUAAAGGAAUUGGCGG
Molecule: ribosomal RNA, 870 nt
Filed under: uncultured archaeon
Lineage: Archaea
Description: bacterial SSU rRNA
Rfam family: Archaeal small subunit ribosomal RNA
Source: RNAcentral